AUUGAACGCUGGCGGCAGGCCUAACACAUGCCAGUCGAGCGGAUGAAGGGAGCUUGCUCCUGGAUUCAGCGGCGGACGGGUGAGUAAUGCCUAGGAAUCUGCCUGGUAGUGGGGGAUAACGUCCGGAAACGGGCGCUAAUACCGCAUACGUCCUGAGGGAGAAAGUGGGGGAUCUUCGGACCUCACGCUAUCAGAUGAGCCUAGGUCGGAUUAGCUAGUUGGUGGGGUAAAGGCCUACCAAGGCGACGAUCCGUAACUGGUCUGAGAGGAUGAUCAGUCACACUGGAACUGAGACACGGUCCAGACUCCUACGGGAGGCAGCAGUGGGGAAUAUUGGACAAUGGGUGAAAGCCUGAUCCAGCCAUGCCGCGUGUGUGAAGAAGGUCUUCGGAUUGUAAAGCACUUUAAGUUGGGAGGAAGGGCAGUAAGUUAAUACCUUGCUGUUUUGACGUUACCAACAGAAUAAGCACCGGCUAACUUCGUG
RNAcentral lists this ribosomal RNA (484 nucleotides) under uncultured bacterium. Its description in RNAcentral is "partial 16S ribosomal RNA". It matches the Rfam family "Bacterial small subunit ribosomal RNA", at positions 30 to 507 of the family's 1533-position model. The record is from RNAcentral.